Molecule: non-coding RNA, 448 nt
Organism: Labeo rohita (rohu)
Lineage: Eukaryota; Metazoa; Chordata; Actinopteri; Cypriniformes; Cyprinidae
Source: the annotation of a RefSeq genome assembly
GUUUGAGCUGCUUAGCUGCUUAUGAUGAUCCAUGAUGUUUCUGUGCAGUCUCUGGUUCUUUCUUCUCUUUUCAGGUGAUGCAAGUGGUGAAGGAAUAGCUCCUCUUUUCUCAUCUAAACGUGUAAUCAAUGGUGACUCCAUUAUUUUGACCUGCAAUUACAAUGGGUCCUACAACAGUGAUUCUCUCCUGUGGUAUCGUCAAUACAGCAGCUCCAAACCAGAGUUUUUGUUUUUGGUUAGUGAAGCCAAUCUUGAGCAGCCAGCUGACCCUCCAAUUCCUGGAGUGUCUGCUAAAAUAAAUGAGGAGAAAAACCGUGUGGAUCUGGAGAUCUCUUCCGUUUUAGUAUCAGACUCUGCGAUGUACUACUGUGCCCUGAAGCCCACAGUGACAGGAAACACCAAAACACUGCACAAAAUGAAGGGGAAAACAAAUAAACGAACAACCUGA